This 566-nucleotide ribosomal RNA is filed under the name Shouchella xiaoxiensis. Its description in RNAcentral is "bacterial SSU rRNA". It matches the Rfam family "Bacterial small subunit ribosomal RNA", at positions 1 to 548 of the family's 1533-position model. The record is from RNAcentral. Lineage: Bacteria; Bacillati; Bacillota; Bacilli; Caryophanales; Bacillaceae.
UUAACGGAGAGUUUGAUCCUGGCUCAGGACGAACGCUGGCGGCAUGCCUAAUACAUGCAAGUCGAGCGGACAGAAGGGAGCUUGCUCCCGGAAGUCAGCGGCGGACGGGUGAGUAACACGUGGGCAACCUGCCCUUUAGAUUGGGAUAACUUCGGGAAACCGAAGCUAAUACCGAAUAAUACAUAGAAUCUCCUGGUUCAAUGUUGAAAGAUGGCCUUCGUGCUAUCACUAAAGGAUGGGCCCGCGGCGCAUUAGCUAGUUGGUAAGGUAACGGCUUACCAAGGCGACGAUGCGUAGCCGACCUGAGAGGGUGAUCGGCCACACUGGGACUGAGACACGGCCCAGACUCCUACGGGAGGCAGCAGUAGGGAAUCUUCCGCAAUGGACGAAAGUCUGACGGAGCAAUGCCGCGUGAGUGAGGAAGGCCUUCGGGUCGUAAAGCUCUGUUGUGAGGGAAGAACAAGUACCGGCGUAACUACCGGUACCGUGACGGUACCUCACCAGAAAGCCACGGCUAACUACGUGCCAGCAGCCGCGGUAAUACGUAGGUGGCAAGCGUUGUCCGG